Molecule: non-coding RNA, 96 nt
Organism: Ceratotherium simum simum (southern white rhinoceros)
Lineage: Eukaryota; Metazoa; Chordata; Mammalia; Perissodactyla; Rhinocerotidae
Source: RefSeq, a predicted model, not a curated record
UGUGGGAGCUGCUUCAACAUGGCUUGGUGAGCAAUGAAUAGGUCCACGCCCAGGAUCUGAACUGGUGAACCCUGGGCUGCCAAAGUGGAACGUGCA